RNAcentral lists this ribosomal RNA (1366 nucleotides) under uncultured bacterium. RNAcentral's name for it is "partial 16S ribosomal RNA". It matches the Rfam family "Bacterial small subunit ribosomal RNA", at positions 28 to 1381 of the family's 1533-position model. The record is from RNAcentral.
AAUGAACGCUGGCGGUAGGCUUAACACAUGCAAGUCGAGCGGCAGCACGGGCUAGCUUGGUCCCUGCGUGACGAGACCCGCACAGGGGAGCAAUGCCCGGAAGCCUGUUGGCUGGAGGAGGGAGACUACCGGACAAAGGACCGACUACUACCAUCGCACCGUUACACCAAGGAAUCCUACCUUCAGGAACUCUUGUCUCUCUAUGAGACCCGCAUGCGAUCCCAUUAGCUAGUGGGUGAGGUAACGGCUCACCCGAGCAACCAUGGCUAGGGGAACUGAUAAGCUGAACCCCCGCACUGUGUACUGAGACACCAGACACACUCCUAGGUAGUCGCAGCGGUGAUGAAUAUUGGUCAGUGCGCGAGAGCCUGAACCAGCCAAGUCGCGUGAAGGAUGACUGUCUUAUGGAUUGUAAACUUCUUUUAUACGGGAAUAACAAGAGCCACGUGUGGCUCCCUGCAUGUACCCUAUGAAUAAGCAUCGGCUAACUCCGUGCCAGCAGCCGCGGUAAUACGGAGGAUGCGAGCGUUAUCCGGAUUUAUUGGGUUUAAAGGGUGCGUAGGCGGCCUGUUAAGUCAGAGGUGAAAUCUAAGAGCUUAACUCCUAAAUUGCCAUUGAUACUGGCGGGCUUGAGUGUAGAUGAGGUAGGCGGAAUGCGUGGUGUACUGCUGGAAUGCAUAGAUAUCACGCAGAACUCCGAUUGCGAAGGCAGCUUACUAAAGUACAACUGACGCUGAAGCACGAAAGCGUGGGUAUCAAACAGGAUUAGAUACCCUGGUAGUCCACGCUGUAAACGAUGAUAACUGGGCGUAUGCGAUAUACAGUAUGCUCCUAAGCGAAAGCGUUAAGUUAUCCACCUGGGGAGUACGGCCGCAAGGUUGAAACUCAAAUGAAUUGACGGGGGCCCGCACAAGCGGUGGAGCAUGUGGUUUAAUUCGAUGAUACGCGAGGAACCUUACUCCGUAUUGACAUCCAGAGAACUUUCCAGAGAAAGUCGGCUUUCCUUCGGGAACUCUAUGUAGAUGCUGCCUGGUUGUCUGCCGCUCGCGCCGGGAGGUGUCUGCUUAAGUCCCGCAACCAGCGCAACCCCUGUCUACCGUUGCCAUCCAGUAAUGCUGGGAACUCAAAGGAGACUGCCGUUGAUAAGGCGUGAGGAAGGUGGGGAUGACGUCAAAUCAUCAUGGCCCUUACGUGUAGGGCGACACACGUGUUACAAUGGCAUGUACAAAGGGCAGCUACCUGGCGAGAGCAAGCGAAUCUCUAAACCUUAUCACAGUUCGGAUCGGAGUCUGCAAUUGGAUUCCAGGAAGUGGAUUCACUAGUAAUCGCGCAUCAAUCAUGGUGCGGUGAAUACGUUCCCGGGCCU